Brassica napus (rape) is the source of this 1550-nucleotide RNA transcript. RefSeq lists it as uncharacterized. The transcript has 7 exons. NCBI's taxonomy places the organism in Eukaryota, Viridiplantae, Streptophyta, Magnoliopsida, Brassicales, Brassicaceae. The record is from RefSeq and is a predicted model, not a curated record.
GUAUAUGGCCCAUAAAGGCCCAGCUCUGAUGUUUUAUGAGUAAGUCGACCAAACUCUCCCGUUUUGCCGUUUUGUAGAUUAGGUUUUCAUGUUUCUCCUUCAAUCUGCCGUAUGCAACACAUGUGUCUCUGAACUCUUUACCUUCCAACUCUGUUCAUAUCCAUCUAAUCGUUUACUUUGCUCUGUUCAUAUUACCUUUAAAUUUGCCAAUAAAUGUUUUCCCAUUAAAGCCAUAAACACUCUCGAUCUCUCCGUCUCCUCUCACAUACAAUUAUAACCCGAAAAUCACUUCAACCCCUAUAAAUUGGAGAUUGGAGAGAGUAGGAUGAAUCUUCACCGCAUGUCUCAGUUCCUCUUUAAUCUUCAAAAAUGUCUUUGUCUGAUGUUGUUGUUCACGAACCAGUCCGCCACUCAACCUUCGACACGAUAGAUCUUCCUAAUUCAUUGUCGCUCGGCUCCUCCGUUUUUGGGACUUCCGCAGCAUCAAGAAGGACGGAGAAUUCAUGGGAAUCACUCUACUUCUCCUUGAUGAGAAGGAGUCAAUGAUCAUAUAUGUGCCUCAACUCGACCCCAGCAACCAAUUAUUUUUUUUUUGACACCAGCCUCCCAGCCAUCACAGAGUUCGCUUAAGAGGUGCAGUAGGGGUGGAUUUCUCCUGUAUUGAUAGCAAUGAAGGGAUUAAACAAAAAAAAAGAACUUGUCUCAAUUGGAGAUGUCAGCAAAUUCAUCGCCAACUCAAACGAGCAGACACAAGAAGCGGGAUUUAUUUGCAAAGCUCGGAUUGUCGAGGUCAUGCAACAAAAUGGAUGGUCUUUUAUCUUGCAUUGGACGCAGCAGGAAGCUAGAGAAAUCUGGCAGCUCUUUUCUUUGCAGCCGAUGUGUUAAUCCCAACGUCACCGGUGUGAUCAGGUGCGAAGAUUUCAAGCUCAUGGAUAUUUGAUGAUGGGAAUGAUAGUACGACUUUUGUGGUGUUCGAAUGCUUAAUCUUACCAAGAAAGAUGCAGCUUCUCUGGCUCUUGAUGAGGGUGAAUGGUGGUGGCGGCCAAGAACUCCGUGAAUGUCUUAAAGAACUUGCUGGGAAGGAUUUUGUUUUCAAGAUACAUGUAACGCCAUACAAUUUCACCCCAAUCACCACACCUUCCCCGUUUCUGCAAUCAGCCCGUGAUUUUCAACACCACUGAAGGGAAAGGCGCUUUUGCUUGUGCCAGCAACAUGGCUGCAGCUGGUGGCAAAGAAUGUGGACACAAACGCUCCCGAUGAGUGAGUUUCAAAGCUGUCAAACCGUCAACCCCACAUAGCUUUCGUCAUUUUACAAUUUCCUAAAUUAAUAUGCUUUACCUAUUUUGGACUUUUGCAAUGUUUUUUUGCAUUUCCAGCUUUCGUUUUUUUUUGUCCAGCCAAUUACGGCAUAGCAACUCCUGUGAGGACUUUUGCAAUGUUUUCGUAAUUCCAGGUUUCGUUUUUUUUUUGUCCAGCCAAUUACGGCAUAGUAACUCUUAUGAGGAGAACAUUUUCUAAGUUUCAAUAUUAAAAAGUCAGGGUCGACGUAA